UACAGAGGGUGCAAGCGUUGUUCGGAAUUAUUGGGCGUAAAGGGCGCGUAGGCGGUGCGGUAAGUCUGCAGUGAAAUCUCUGGGCUCAACUCAGAGUCUGCUGUAGAAACUGCCGUGCUUGAGUGCGGAAGAGGGUCGUGGAAUUCCCAGUGUAGAGGUGAAAUUCGUAGAUAUUGGGAAGAACACCGGUGGCGAAGGCGGCGACCUGGUCCGAUACUGACGCUGAGGCGCGAAAGCGUGGGGAGCAAACAGG
This 253-nucleotide ribosomal RNA is filed under the name uncultured bacterium. Its description in RNAcentral is "partial 16S ribosomal RNA". It matches the Rfam family "Bacterial small subunit ribosomal RNA", at positions 524 to 776 of the family's 1533-position model. The record is from RNAcentral.